GACGAACGCUGGCGGCGUGCCUAACACAUGCAAGUCGAACGGGGCACCUUCGGGUGCUUAGUGGCGAACGGGUGAGUAACGCGUGAGAAACCUGCCUCUCAGUGGGGGACAACAGUUGGGAACGACUGCUAAUACCGCAUAAUGUUUCGGAAGGGCAUCCUUCUGAAACCAAAGCUUUAUGUGCUGAGAGAUGGUCUCGCGUCUGAUUAGCUAGAUGGCGGGUAACGGCCCACCAUGGCGACGAUCAGUAGCCGGUCUGAGAGGAUGAACGGCCACAUUGGGACUGAGAUACGGCCCAG
Molecule: ribosomal RNA, 299 nt
Filed under: uncultured bacterium
Lineage: Bacteria
Description: partial 16S ribosomal RNA
Rfam family: Bacterial small subunit ribosomal RNA
Source: RNAcentral